GGCGUCUUAUUUCGUCCCAUUUCCUCGGUGCCGUUCAAUAUGGAGGCAUGUUGAUCAAUUUCGUCUGCGUUUUAAAAAAGGAAAAACGCAAGAUGGAAAAGGGUGAUGUCUUAGAAGAUGAAGAAAUCAGACCUGUUCAUCAACGAUCAACUAUUCUUAGUCAUGGAAAAGAAUGACAACUUAUAAGAUGAAGAAACAAGACUUGUGUUCAUCAAUGGUCAACUAUUUUCAGUCAUGUUAUUAAUGGAAAAGAAUGACAACUUAUAAGAUGAAAAAAUAAGACCUGUUCAUCAACGAUCAACUAUUCUUAGUCGUGCUGUUAUUAAUGGAAAAGGAUGAUGACUUGUAAAAUGAAGAAGAGAUUGUACAUUUAAUUUUGUAAAAAAAAAAAAGGAUAAUUUAUCCACAUUCCAGCAAAUGUAUAUUCAUUCAUAUUAAUCUACACAUUUUAAAGCCUUUGAAAAAUAAAGAAUUUUUUGAUCCACGAUUGGACAACGAUGUGAUAUGUAAACCUUUGUAAAUAUACAAUAAACGUCAAAUUGAAUUUUGAAAGAA
Molecule: long non-coding RNA, 555 nt
Organism: Cataglyphis hispanica
Lineage: Eukaryota; Metazoa; Arthropoda; Insecta; Hymenoptera; Formicidae
Exons: 5
Source: RefSeq, a predicted model, not a curated record